This 253-nucleotide ribosomal RNA is filed under the name uncultured bacterium. Its description in RNAcentral is "partial 16S ribosomal RNA". It matches the Rfam family "Bacterial small subunit ribosomal RNA", at positions 524 to 776 of the family's 1533-position model. The record is from RNAcentral.
UACAGGGGGUGCAAGCGUUGCUCGGAAUCAUUGGGCGUAAAGCGCACGUAGGCGGUCUGUUAUGUCGGAUGUGAAAGCCCUUGGCUUAACCGAGGAAGUGCAUCCGAAACUGGCAGGCUAGAGUACUAAAGAGGGUCGCGGAAUUCCCGGUGUAGAGGUGAAAUUCGUAGAUAUCGGGAGGAACACCGGUGGCGAAGGCGGCGACCUGGGUAGAUACUGACGCUGAGGUGCGAAAGCGUGGGGAGCAAACAGG